This 499-nucleotide ribosomal RNA is filed under the name uncultured bacterium. Its description in RNAcentral is "partial 16S ribosomal RNA". It matches the Rfam family "Bacterial small subunit ribosomal RNA", at positions 30 to 523 of the family's 1533-position model. The record is from RNAcentral.
AUUGAACGCUGGCGGCAUGCUUUACACAUGCAAGUCGAACGGUAACAGGGAGCUUGCUCCGCUGACGAGUGGCGAACGGGUGAGUAAUGCAUCGGAACGUGCCCAGUCGUGGGGAUAACGCGGCGAAAGUUGUGCUAAUACCGCAUACGUCCUGAGGGAGAAAGCAGGGGAUCUUCGGCCCUUGUGCGAUUGGAGCGGCCGAUGUCAGAUUAGCUAGUUGGUGAGGUAAAGGCUAACCAAGGCGACGAUCUGUAGCUGGGCUGAGAGGAUGAUCAGCCACACUGGAACUGAGACACGGUCCAGACUCCUACGGGAGGCAGCAGUGGGGAAUUUUGGACAAUGGGCGCAAGCCUGAUCCAGCCAUGCCGCGUGAGUGAAGAAGGCCUUCGGGUUGUAAAGCUCUUUCGGCCGGGAAAAAAUCGCAAAGGCUAAUAUCCUUUGUGGAUGAUGGUACCGGAAUAAGAAGCACCGGCUAACUACGUGCCAGCCGCCGCCGUAA